RNAcentral lists this ribosomal RNA (918 nucleotides) under Venturia chlorospora. RNAcentral's name for it is "eukaryotic LSU rRNA". It matches the Rfam family "Eukaryotic large subunit ribosomal RNA", at positions 1 to 940 of the family's 3401-position model. Lineage: Eukaryota; Fungi; Ascomycota; Dothideomycetes; Venturiales; Venturiaceae. The record is from RNAcentral.
GUUGGCCUCGGAUCAGGUGGGGAUACCCGCUGAACUUAAGCAUAUCAAUAAGCGGAGGAAAAGAAACCAACAGGGAUUGCCUCAGUAACGGCGAGUGAAGCGGCAACAGCUCAAAUUUGAAAUCUGGCGCAAGCCCGAGUUGUAAUUUGUAGAGGAUGUUUCGGGUGAAGCCACGGUCCAAGUCCCUUGGAACAGGACGUCAUAGAGGGUGAGAACCCCGUACCUGGCCGUCGGCUCCCCCCGCUGUGAAACUCCUUCGACGAGUCGAGUUGUUUGGGAAUGCAGCUCUAAAUUGGUGGUAAAUUCCAUCUAAAGCUAAAUACCGGCCAGAGACCGAUAGCGCACAAGUAGAGUGAUCGAAAGAUGAAAAGCACUUUGAAAAGAGAGUUAAAAAGUACGUGAAAUUGUUGAAAGGGAAGCGCUUGCGGCCAGACUUGCCCGCGGUUGCUCAGCCCGCCUUUUGGCGGGUGCACUCUUCCGCGGUCAGGCCAGCAUCGGUUUGGGCGGUCGGAUAAAGGCGUUGGGAACGUGGCCUCCCCUCGGGGAGGUGUUAUAGCCCGGCGCGCAAUGCGACCAGCCCGGACCGAGGUUCGCGCUUUGCUAGGAUGCUGGCGUAAUGGCCGUAAGCGGCCCGUCUUGAAACACGGACCAAGGAGUCUAACAUCUAUGCGAGUGUUUGGGUGUCAAACCCGUGCGCGUAAUGAAAGUGAACGGAGGUGGGAACCGCAAGGUGCACCAUCGACCGAUCCUGAUGUCUUCGGAAGGAUUUGAGUAAGAGCAUAGCUGUUGGGACCCGAAAGAUGGUGAACUAUGCGUGAAUAGGGUGAAGCCAGAGGAAACUCUGGUGGAGGCUCGCAGCGGUUCUGACGUGCAAAUCGAUCGUCAAAUUUGCGUAUAGGGGCGAAAGACUAAUCGAAC